RNAcentral lists this ribosomal RNA (492 nucleotides) under uncultured bacterium. RNAcentral's name for it is "partial 16S ribosomal RNA". It matches the Rfam family "Bacterial small subunit ribosomal RNA", at positions 29 to 507 of the family's 1533-position model. The record is from RNAcentral.
AGUGAACGCUGGCGGUAGGCCUAACACAUGCAAGUCGAACGGCAGCACAGUAAGAGCUUGCUCUUACGGGUGGCGAGUGGCGGACGGGUGAGGAAUACAUCGGAAUCUACUUUUUCGUGGGGGAUAACGUAGGGAAACUUACGCUAAUACCGCAUACGACCUACGGGUGAAAGCAGGGGAUCUUCGGACCUUGCGCGAUUGAAUGAGCCGAUGUCGGAUUAGCUAGUUGGCGGGGUAAAGGCCCACCAAGGCGACGAUCCGUAGCUGGUCUGAGAGGAUGAUCAGCCACACUGGAACUGGGACACGGUCCAGACUCCUACGGGAGGCAGCAGUGGGGAAUAUUGGACAAUGGGCGCAAGCCUGAUCCAGCCAUACCGCGUGGGUGAAGAAGGCCUUCGGGUUGUAAAGCCCUUUUGUUGGGACAGAAAAGCAGCAGGUUAAUACCCCGCUGUUCUGACGGUACCCAAAGAAUAAGCACCGGCUAACUUCGUG